Molecule: long non-coding RNA, 349 nt
Organism: Populus euphratica (Euphrates poplar)
Lineage: Eukaryota; Viridiplantae; Streptophyta; Magnoliopsida; Malpighiales; Salicaceae
Exons: 2
Source: RefSeq, a predicted model, not a curated record
GCCCCUUCCCUACUUCAACUACUACUAUCAGAAGGCGGCUGUGCCCAUACAAGCAGCAAAAAACGUGAGACAAAUCAGUGAAGGAAGUGGACCAAAAAUCAAUGGCUUCCACUGGCUUGCCAGGAGGACGGAGGUUGCUGUCGGAGAGGAAGCCACUGCUCCAGUUGGCUUCAAUGCUGCUGAAGAAAAUUAAGGACAGUAAAAAGGAUGAUAAUUCAGCUCCAGAGAAUCAGGCCACUGGCAAUCACUCUAGGAAGGUUACUGUUAUGGAGUCAAUUGUUACUUUUGACGUUAGAUAUUUCCCACUGAAUCAUAUCAUAAUUAAAAUAAGAUGCCGAUUUUCAUUGAU